RNAcentral lists this ribosomal RNA (274 nucleotides) under uncultured bacterium. Its description in RNAcentral is "partial 16S ribosomal RNA". It matches the Rfam family "Bacterial small subunit ribosomal RNA", at positions 523 to 796 of the family's 1533-position model. The record is from RNAcentral.
AUACGGAGGGUGCAAGCGUUAUUCGGAAUCACUGGGCGUAAAGGACGCGUAGGCGGGUUGGCAAGUCAGAUGUGAAAUCCUACAGCUUAACUGUAGAACUGCAUUUGAAACUGCUAACCUAGAGUAUGGGAGGGGGAGAUGGAAUUAGUGGUGUAGGGGUAAAAUCCGUAGAUAUCACUAGGAAUACCGAAAGCGAAGGCGAUCUCCUGGAACAUAACUGACGCUAAGGCGUGAAAGCGUGGGGAGCAAACAGCAUUAGAAACCCUUGUAGUCC